This 253-nucleotide ribosomal RNA is filed under the name uncultured bacterium. Its description in RNAcentral is "partial 16S ribosomal RNA". It matches the Rfam family "Bacterial small subunit ribosomal RNA", at positions 524 to 776 of the family's 1533-position model. The record is from RNAcentral.
UACGUAGGCAGCGAGCGUUGUUCGGAGUUACUGGGCGUAAAGGGUGCGUAGGCGGUUUUCCAAGUUUGGUGUGAAAUCUCCCGGCUCAACUGGGAGGGUGCGCCGAAAACUGGAGGACUGGAGUACCGGAGAGGUAAGCGGAAUUCCUGGUGUAGCGGUGAAAUGCGUAGAGAUCAGGAGGAACACCUAUUGCGAAGGCAGCUCGCUGGGACGUAACUGACGCUGAGACGCGAAAGCGUGGGGAGCAAACAGG